UACGUAGGGUGCAAGCGUUAAUCGGAAUUACUGGGCGUAAAGCGUGCGCAGGCGGUUUUGUAAGACAGGGGUGAAAUCCCAGGGCUUAACCUUGGAACUGCAUUUGUGACUGCAUAGCUAGAGUACGGUAGAGGGGGAUGGAAUUCCGCGUGUAGCAGUGAAAUGCGUAGAUAUGCGGAGGAACACCGAUGGCGAAGGCGAUCCCCUGGACCUGUACUGACGCUCAUGCACGAAAGCGUGGGGAGCAAACAGG
RNAcentral lists this ribosomal RNA (253 nucleotides) under uncultured bacterium. RNAcentral describes it as "partial 16S ribosomal RNA". It matches the Rfam family "Bacterial small subunit ribosomal RNA", at positions 524 to 776 of the family's 1533-position model. The record is from RNAcentral.